ACAAUUUGACCUCAAAUCAGGUAGGAUUACCCGCUGAACUUAAGCAUAUCAAUAAGCGGAGGAAAAGAAACUAACAAGGAUUCCCCUAGUAACUGC
Molecule: ribosomal RNA, 96 nt
Filed under: Arrhenia epichysium
Lineage: Eukaryota; Fungi; Basidiomycota; Agaricomycetes; Agaricales; Hygrophoraceae
Also listed under: 1 other name
Description: partial 28S ribosomal RNA
Rfam family: Eukaryotic large subunit ribosomal RNA
Source: RNAcentral